RNAcentral lists this ribosomal RNA (509 nucleotides) under uncultured bacterium. RNAcentral's name for it is "bacterial SSU rRNA". It matches the Rfam family "Bacterial small subunit ribosomal RNA", at positions 19 to 518 of the family's 1533-position model. The record is from RNAcentral.
CUGGCUCAGGAUGAACGCUAGCUACAGGCUUAACACAUGCAAGUCGAGGGGCAGCAGGAAUCUAGCUUGCUAGAUUGCUGGCGACCGGCGCACGGGUGAGUAACGCGUAUCCAACCUUCCCCAUAGUAGAGGAUAGCCCGGCGAAAGUCGGAUUAAUACUCUAUGUUGUAUUUUUGAGGACAUCUGACGAAUACCAAAGAUUUAUCGCUAUGGGAUGGGGAUGCGUCUGAUUAGGUUGUUGGCGGGGUAACGGCCCACCAAGCCGACGAUCAGUAGGGUUCUGAGAGGAAGGUCCCCCACAUUGGUACUGAGACACGGACCAAACUCCUACGGGAGGCAGCAGUGAGGAAUAUUGGUCAAUGGACGAGAGCCUGAACCAGCCAAGUAGCGUGCAGGACGACUGCCCUAUGGGUUGUAAACUGCUUUUAUAGGGGAAUAAAGUCCACUACGUGUAGUGGUUUGUAUGUACCCUAUGAAUAAGGACCGGCUAAUUCCGUGCCAGCAGCAGC